This 478-nucleotide ribosomal RNA is filed under the name uncultured bacterium. RNAcentral's name for it is "partial 16S ribosomal RNA". It matches the Rfam family "Bacterial small subunit ribosomal RNA", at positions 28 to 507 of the family's 1533-position model. The record is from RNAcentral.
GAUGAACGCUGGCGGCGUGCUUAACACAUGCAAGUCGAACGAGAAAUGAAGACGGAAACCUUCGGGCGGAAGCCUUCAUUUCGAGUGGCGGACGGGUGAGUAACGCGUGGGUAACCUGCCUCAUACAGGGGGAUAACAGUUGGAAACGACUGUUAAUACCGCAUAAGACCACAGCAUCGCAUGAUGCGGGGGUAAAAACUCCGGUGGUAUGAGAUGGACCCGCGUUCGAUUAGCCAGUUGGCGGGGUAACGGCCCACCAAAGCGACGAUCGAUAGCCGAUCUGAGAGGAUGACCGGCCACAUUGGGACUGAGACACGGCCCAAACUCCUACGGGAAGCAGCAGUGGGGAAUAUUGCACAAUGGGGGAAACCCUGAUGCAGCGACGCCGCGUGAGUGAAGAAGUACUUCGGUAUGUAAAGCUCUAUCAGCAGGGAAGAAAAUGACGGUACCUGAGUAAGAAGCCCCGGCUAACUACGUG